GCCAUCUUAGCUCAGUUGGUAGAGCGCAUCCAUGGUAAGGAUGAGGUCCCCAGUUCAAUCCUGGGAGAUGGCU
Candidatus Kaiserbacteria bacterium is the source of this 73-nucleotide non-coding RNA. The record is from Rfam. NCBI's taxonomy places the organism in Bacteria, Candidatus Kaiseribacteriota.